CAUUGACAGGCUACCAAGUGAUGACACGCAGAGCCCAUUUACAGCGGGGAGAUUGUUGUGGUAAUGCUUGUAGACAUUGUCCCUAUGGGCAAGUGAAUGUGAAGGAUGAAUCAAAGAAGAAAUUCAAUUCUGCAUUUUAUGUAUAACUGUUUUGAAUUAAAUUUAUUUAUUUUUAAUUGUAA
Long non-coding RNA from Mercenaria mercenaria, 182 nucleotides. RefSeq lists it as uncharacterized. The transcript is spliced from 2 exons. The record is from RefSeq and is a predicted model, not a curated record. NCBI's taxonomy places the organism in Eukaryota, Metazoa, Mollusca, Bivalvia, Venerida, Veneridae.